This 571-nucleotide ribosomal RNA is filed under the name Gastrophryne elegans (elegant narrowmouth toad). RNAcentral's name for it is "partial 16S ribosomal RNA". It matches the Rfam family "Bacterial large subunit ribosomal RNA", at positions 1811 to 2608 of the family's 2925-position model. The record is from RNAcentral. Lineage: Eukaryota; Metazoa; Chordata; Amphibia; Anura; Microhylidae.
AAACAUCGCCUCCUGCAAUAAAUAGGAGGUCCAGCCUGCCCAGUGACCAAGUUAAACGGCCGCGGUACCCUAACCGUGCGAAGGUAGCGCAAUCACUUGUUCUUUAAAUGAGGACUAGUAUGAAUGGCAUCACGAGGGUUACACUGUCUCCCACCUCUAAUCAGUGAAACUGAUCUUCCCGUGAAGAAGCGGGAAUAAAACUAUAAGACGAGAAGACCCCAUGGAGCUUUAAACUCAGCAUCAACCAUCAACAACUACACCACAUAAAACAGAUGGACCUGACCGCUAGUUUUAGGUUGGGGUGACCGCGGAGCAUAAAAAAACCUCCACGAUGAACGACCUCCUCUCUAAUCCGAGAGCCACUACUCAAAGAAUUCAAAAAAUUGACACUCAUUGACCCAAACUAUUUUGAUCAACGAACCAAGUUACCCUGGGGAUAACAGCGCAAUCCAUUUCAAGAGCCCCUAUCGACAAAUGGGUUUACGACCUCGAUGUUGGAUCAGGGUAUCCUAGUGGUGCAGCCGCUACUAAAGGUUCGUUUGUUCAACGAUUAAAACCCUACGUGAUCUGA